Long non-coding RNA from Aricia agestis (brown argus), 126 nucleotides. RefSeq lists it as uncharacterized. NCBI's taxonomy places the organism in Eukaryota, Metazoa, Arthropoda, Insecta, Lepidoptera, Lycaenidae. The transcript has 3 exons. The record is from RefSeq and is a predicted model, not a curated record.
UAAUAAUUAUUGGUAAUAAUAAUGCCCGGGAUACACGAGGCUAGUUUUUCAAGCUAGGAUAGCAAGCUGUUGUUUACCAAACUGUCCUGGCUUGCUGACCUAGCUUGGAGCAUGCUAGUUCUGUUU